Molecule: non-coding RNA, 670 nt
Filed under: Pan troglodytes (chimpanzee)
Lineage: Eukaryota; Metazoa; Chordata; Mammalia; Primates; Hominidae
Source: RNAcentral
GAUUCUUCCCAAUUCUACCGCCACCAUUCUGGUUCAAGCUACCUGAUACAAAAAUAUUUACCAUUAUGUUACAAUGUCUACAGUAUUCAGCACAAUAACAUGAUAUACAGGUUUGUAGACUAGGAGCAACAGGCUACAUGAUAUAGCAUGGGUGACAAAGACUUUAAGCCAACUGUCUUAUGUAUGUUCAAAGAACUAAAGGAAACCAGGAAAAAAAUGUAUGAACAAAAUUAAGAGUACCAAUAAUGAGGCAGAAUUAUUAAAAGCCCAUCAAAUAGAAACUCAGGAACUGAAAAGUACAAUAACUAAAAUGAAAAUCUUUAGAGGGGCUUAAUGAAUUUGAGUACAAAGAAGAGUCAGCAAAUUUAAAGAUAGUAUAAUUUAAAUUAUCCAGUGUGUGUCUUGGUUUGAGUUCAGUCUAAAUCAAUCAAUCAAUCAAUCAAUCAAUCAUCCAGUAUGAGGAACAGAAAGAAAAAUGAAGAAAAGUAAACAGAGUCCAAGGGACCUGUGGGACAUCAUCAAGUGAACUAACAUAUGCAUUACAGGAGUCUCAAGAGGGGAAGUGAAAUAGGAUCAGAAAGAAUGUUUGAAGAAAUAAUGGUUGAAAAACUCCGAAAUUUGAUGAAAGAGGUGAAUCUACAUAUCCAAGAAGCUCAAUGAACUCUAAAGA